RNAcentral lists this ribosomal RNA (260 nucleotides) under uncultured bacterium. RNAcentral's name for it is "partial 16S ribosomal RNA". It matches the Rfam family "Bacterial small subunit ribosomal RNA", at positions 524 to 778 of the family's 1533-position model. The record is from RNAcentral.
UACGAAGGGGGCUAGCGUUGCUCGGAAUCACUGGGCGUAAAGGGUGCGUAGGCGGGUCUUUAAGUCAGGGGUGAAAUCCUGGAGCUCAACUCCAGAACUGCCUUUGAUACUGAGGAUCUUGAGUUCGGGAGAGGUGAGUGGAACUGCGAGUGUAGAGGUGAAAUUCGUAGAUAUUCGCAAGAACACCAGUGGCGAAGGCGGCUCACUGGCCCGAUACUGACGGCUGAGGCACGGAAAAGCGAUGGGGGAGCAAAGCAGGG